UACGUAGGGUGCGAGCGUUGUCCGGAAUUAUUGGGCGUAAAGAGCUCGUAGGCGGUUUGUCGCGUCUGCCGUGAAAGUCCGGGGCUCAACUCCGGAUCUGCGGUGGGUACGGGCAGACUAGAGUGAUGUAGGGGAGACUGGAAUUCCUGGUGUAGCGGUGAAAUGCGCAGAUAUCAGGAGGAACACCAGUGGCGAAGGCGAGUUUCUGGACAGUUACUGACGCUGAGGCACGAAGGCCAGGGGAGCAAACGGG
Molecule: ribosomal RNA, 253 nt
Filed under: uncultured bacterium
Lineage: Bacteria
Description: partial 16S ribosomal RNA
Rfam family: Bacterial small subunit ribosomal RNA
Source: RNAcentral